RNAcentral lists this ribosomal RNA (460 nucleotides) under uncultured bacterium. Its description in RNAcentral is "partial 16S ribosomal RNA". It matches the Rfam family "Bacterial small subunit ribosomal RNA", at positions 338 to 795 of the family's 1533-position model. The record is from RNAcentral.
CCUACGGGAGGCUGCAGUGAGGAAUAUUGGUCAAUGGACGAGAGUCUGAACCAGCCAAGUAGCGUGAAUGAUGACUGCCCUAUGGGUUGUAAACUUCUUUUAUAUGGGAAUAAAAUGUUCCACGUGUGGGAUUUUGUAUGUACCAUAUGAAUAAGGAACGGCUAACUCCGUUCCAGCAGCCGCGGUAAUACGGAGGAUCCGAGCGUUAUCCGGAUUUAUUGGGUUUAAAGGGAGCGUAGGUGGAUUGUUAAGUCAGUUGUGAAAGUUUGCGGCUCAACCGUAAAAUUGCAGUUGAAACUGGCAGGCUUGAGUACAGUAGAGGUGGGCGGAAUUCGUGGUGUAGCGGUGAAAUGCUUAGAUAUCACGAAGAACUCCGAUUGCGAAGGCAGCUCACUGGACUGCAACUGACACUGAGGCUCGAAAGUGUGGGUAUCAAACAGGAUUAGAUACCCGUGUAGUC